GCCCUAGUGUGAUAGUAGUAGCAGUUUCAACAGCCAUUGCACAUGCUAUCAAUGCUCUGAGACACGCCGGCAUACCCUGUACCGGAGCUCGAACUACUUUGGAAAAGAAUGCUAUGGGACGCAUACCGCCUCCUUGCUCUUGUGCACAGACCGCGGCCAUGGUUUUACAGUUGUCCCGAGCAUACAAAUGAAAUGGUUUACAAUACACAGGUAGUCCUAAAGCCUGGGCUUGCACAAUAACAACUGUAAGGGCAAUAUAUGCAGCUAGCAUGUCUGGUGACCAGCAGACAUUUUCAGGGCUGUCAGAACGUACAGCCUCCCUUAGGAUUGAGUCAUAAUGGGAGCAUUCAGGGAUCCAUUGGCGGCAGUAAUUAAUCAUGCCGAGGAAGGUGAGCAACUCCUUCCGAGUAGUGGGUGUAGGAAUCCUCUGAAUGACCUCAAUACAUUUUGGACUCAAUUGUCUGGUGCCUAAAGCCAGAACAAAACCUAAGUAUUCAACCUUUGAUUUACACAAUUGCAUUUUGUGUUUAACAACCUUGUGACCUACAGUUGCUGACAGUAUCCACAGUGCUUGCCUCAGAGCUAGGGCUACAUAACAACAAAUCAUCAACAUUUUGCAAAAAGGACGGAACCAUGACCGGUGGUCCAUGUUUUUUAGAGUAUGUUGGAGUACCAACGAAUAAACAGCUGGGGAAUCCACAUAGCCUUGGGUAAGCGUGUCCAGGUAAACUGACAGCCUUCAAAAAGUAAAAACCAUAAGUAGCUGUGUCUCUUGAUCAAUAGGUAUAGAAAAAAAUGCAUUACUUAAAUCAAUGACAGUGAAGCAAGUGGCAUCAUGUGGAAUGGCUGUAAUGAGGGAUGUCACAUCAGGGACAAUGGGUGAAAUGGGCACAAUUAAACUAUUCAGGGCUCUAAAGUCCUGAACUAAGCGAUAUGCUGGCCAGUGGUGUUGGGAGUGGGUCUGGUGUUGUUCUUGCCUACAGGGCAUAUUUUGAGAAUUGUGGGGUUGGUGGGGUGUGUGGGGUUUGAUGGGGUUUCCUGGGGUGGGGACACUCAUUCCUCCAGUGGCCAUAUUGUCCACAGUUGAAACAAGUGUUCCUGUCUAUUCCUCCUUGGUUACCCCUGCCCCUAUAACCCUGAUUUCCCUGUCUCCAUCCCCUUGCCCCUCUUUGACCACCCCUUCCACGGGCUUUAUGUGCUCCAUCCCAUCCUCGCUCUCAG
Molecule: non-coding RNA, 1221 nt
Organism: Pelobates cultripes (western spadefoot toad)
Lineage: Eukaryota; Metazoa; Chordata; Amphibia; Anura; Pelobatidae
Source: the annotation of a GenBank genome assembly